CCUUCCAAACUGGAGGAGAGAUAUCCCUUGUCUCAUGGGAGUUACAUGUGGAGGAUGUCAGCAAGGAGAAUCUCCAAGAUACCACAAAAAGUUCCCUCUGAGAGAAACAAUCAGCCUUGAGCAUGUGUAAGCCAGAGAGCACCAGAAUCAGAACACCAUAACCCCAGCCAGAUAAAGGCUUCUGGCGUGGAAUAGGCCAAGCAGGAGAGGAGGAAGCCAUGAUGUUGGUUGAAGUCGUGAAUUUCAAUCAUGAUACUGGACAUGAUAGUUUACAGAAACGAGGGUAUAAUUAGAUGAAAGUAACCAGACAACUCUUCAUUGUCUCAGAGUGACCAGAAAAGCUCUGGAAGACGCCAGAGACUUCAUCUAGGUCAGGGGAAGAAAUAAUCCAUAGAGAUGAUUUCAAGGUAACGGAUAAUGUUUUCUGUUUGUGCCUUAUCAAGUUCAGCUCACUUAAUAUACUGCUUUAAUAAUUAUAGAUAUUUGUAUGUAUGUAUUGCAAUGUCCUCGGUAAUGCAAAUUGGGAUAUGUGAAUUGGGGUAUGUGAUUGGCUCCUCUCCUUGGCAGGUAGAAUAACAUCAGGCAGAGAAACAGCAGCCAGGCCCUUCACCAAACCAAAAGAUAGAGGAUGGGUGCCUUUCAGUCUGGUAUUUUGCUGGUCUAGUCUCCCCAAGAAUAGAUUGAUUUAAUGGUUGCCUACUAACUGGGAGAUUCCUAGGAACCCUGGCCUGGUCCCAGAAACCAGGACAGACACCACCAGGUGGCACCAAACUGUAGCCAAACUGAGAAGAGAUUGGACUGGACCCUAAAAACUCCCAGCCUGGGCUUUUGUUCAUUUGUCUGCAUUUAUACAAAUGGACGUGAGACAUUUAAGGCGGGUGAUGGAAGUCUUCAACAGUUGGAUUGUGGUGCUGGUUGCACAGGUCUGUAAAUCAUUGAAUUGUUCACUUAGUGAAUUUUAUGAUAUUUAAAUUAUACCUUAAUAAAGCUGCUUAAAAAAUUAUAAUUCAAAAA
Molecule: long non-coding RNA, 1014 nt
Organism: Symphalangus syndactylus (siamang)
Lineage: Eukaryota; Metazoa; Chordata; Mammalia; Primates; Hylobatidae
Source: RefSeq, a predicted model, not a curated record